Molecule: long non-coding RNA, 385 nt
Organism: Silurus meridionalis
Lineage: Eukaryota; Metazoa; Chordata; Actinopteri; Siluriformes; Siluridae
Exons: 4
Source: RefSeq, a predicted model, not a curated record
GGCAUGAUAAAUGUUCAGGAGAAAAGUGUGACAACUUGUAUUCCACUUAAAACAUGGAGUUCGAUUUUGCCGAGCUGAAGUGGAGACUCACUCACACUCACUUUAUUCCCCUGGAGUGCGGCCCAGAUGAAUUAAUUCUGCAUGAAGAACCUACAUGAGGAACAUGUCCGUGCAAGCCUCAUUCUUUCAAGAACCCCACCACAGACUGUGUGCCUUCUUCUGUGAAAGUUGAGGAGAACUUCAGAAAAAGUUGAAGACAUUUCUGUAUAAAUAUGACUUUCGAACCUGAUAAAGAAGUAUGAGUGGACAUGAUUUUGGAUUGAUGAGCUGUAAUCUCUGCUCUGCAGGUGUCCACACACACACACACACACACACACACACACAC